Molecule: ribosomal RNA, 505 nt
Filed under: uncultured bacterium
Lineage: Bacteria
Description: bacterial SSU rRNA
Rfam family: Bacterial small subunit ribosomal RNA
Source: RNAcentral
AUGAACGCUAGCUACAGGCUUAACACAUGCAAGUCGAGGGGCAGCAUGAAGAUGUGCUUGCACAACUUUGAUGGCGACCGGCGCACGGGUGAGUAACGCGUAUCCAACCUUCCCUAUAGUAGAGAAUAGCCCGGCGAAAGUCGGAUUAAUGCUCUAUGUUCUUCUUUGAUGGCAUCUGACGAGAAGCAAAGGUUCACCGCUAUAGGAUGGGGAUGCGUCUGAUUAGGUAGUCGGCGGGGUAACGGCCCACCGAGCCAACGAUCAGUAGGGGUUCUGAGAGGAAGGUCCCCCACAUUGGUACUGAGACACGGACCAAACUCCUACGGGAGGCAGCAGUGAGGAAUAUUGGUCAAUGGGCGAGAGCCUGAACCAGCCAAGUAGCGUGCAGGGAAAAGACUGCCCUAUGGGUUGUAAACUGCUUUUAUGCGGGAAUAAAGUCCACUACGUGUAGUGGUUUGUAUGUACCGCAUGAAUAAGGACCGGCUAAUUCCGUGCCAGCAGCUGC